This 74-nucleotide transfer RNA is filed under the name Blochmannia endosymbiont of Camponotus (Colobopsis) obliquus. Its description in RNAcentral is "tRNA-Arg (TCT) (tRNA-Arg-TCT-1-1)". It matches the Rfam family "tRNA". Rfam says of the family: Transfer RNA (tRNA) molecules are approximately 80 nucleotides in length. Lineage: Bacteria; Pseudomonadati; Pseudomonadota; Gammaproteobacteria; Enterobacterales; Enterobacteriaceae. The record is from Rfam by way of RNAcentral.
GUGUCCUUAGCUUAAUAGGAUAGAGCAACGGCCUUCUAAGCCGUAGGUUACAGGUUCAAAUCCUGUAGGACACG